Molecule: long non-coding RNA, 962 nt
Organism: Chinchilla lanigera (long-tailed chinchilla)
Lineage: Eukaryota; Metazoa; Chordata; Mammalia; Rodentia; Chinchillidae
Exons: 3
Source: RefSeq, a predicted model, not a curated record
CGCCAGCACAGAGAGGCCACAGAAGCAAUGGAAGGUCCGCUUUCAAAGUGGACGAUGACCAGCAAGCAGCUGUACACACUUGGCUUUGCAAGCUGCUCUUCUACCAUGUACCAGCUCUUCCAGACCAGGCAGUGCUGUAGCCAGAAGAAAAGCUGCAGGGGCUACGGGUGCAGGUAAAGAACAAGGACCACUAUCUCGCUAUAUAGGAUUUCCUCAUUUAUAGGAUUUGCUGGAGCAAAUAAGCAGUUAUUAUAAACACUAACCAACGGACCCCAGCCUUUUAGUGCCACCAACCUCUCUGGCAGCCGAGGCAAGCCCACGGACCAUUCUCAAAACGGCAUUAAAAGCACAAGUUAAGUACACAGUACUGCAAAGGAAAGCAAUUACAGUAAAACAGUUAUCAAAAUAUCUUAAGUUCUUCCUGUAAGCAGCCUAAGGUCAUCUGUGAAAAUGGCUUCAACUGACCCAGAAAGCUCCAUAAAGUCAUGUAAAUCAAAGCUUUCAAAUUUUUGCUUCACUUUAAGAACACCCACGAGACUGGCCAGGUCAUCAAGGAUAUCCACACCUGAAAGGCCUGCAGGGUCCAAAAGUUUCCAUUCCAUUGUCACAGCGAUGGAGCUGGUAGCAUGCCCAGGCCAAGAAGUGGGUCUAAACAUAGGGCCCAGGGCCCAAAAAAGGACUGCAGAAUUUUUGCUAUACAUCCUUAAUACCGCAGAGAGUAAAGCUGAACUUCGGGGUUUAGGAAUAGAUUCUCUGGUCGCUGAACAUACACAGGUGAACAAAGCACCCAAGAUGCACCACGGCACCCACACCGAGAUGAUCCGGAACUGAAAAGGAGCAGAUGGCUCCUCAAUUGGAAGAUGAGGUUAUGAAGAAAACAGUAUCUCAGAAGAAACUGAAGAAACAAAAACUUAGGGCACAUGAAUAAAUCUGGCAUAAAAUAAAGGUAAAUAAAAGUGAAA